UACGGGGGGAGCAAGCGUUGUUCGGAUUUACUGGGCGUAAAGGGCGCGUAGGCGGUCACUACAAGUCAGUUGUGAAAUCUCUGGGCUUAACUCAGAACGGUCAACUGAUACUGUUGGACUAGAGUGCAGAAGGGGCAACUGGAAUUCUCGGUGUAGCGGUGAAAUGCGUAGAUAUCGAGAGGAACACCUGCGGCGAAGGCGGGUUGCUGGGCUGACACUGACGCUGAGGCGCGAAAGCUAGGGGAGCGAACGGG
RNAcentral lists this ribosomal RNA (254 nucleotides) under uncultured bacterium. Its description in RNAcentral is "partial 16S ribosomal RNA". It matches the Rfam family "Bacterial small subunit ribosomal RNA", at positions 524 to 776 of the family's 1533-position model. The record is from RNAcentral.